Molecule: microRNA, 20 nt
Filed under: Tribolium castaneum (red flour beetle)
Lineage: Eukaryota; Metazoa; Arthropoda; Insecta; Coleoptera; Tenebrionidae
Description: tca-miR-309b-5p
Gene: tca-miR-309b-5p
Source: miRBase by way of RNAcentral
CGACUAACUCGAUUCAGUUG